Molecule: ribosomal RNA, 252 nt
Filed under: uncultured prokaryote
Description: partial 16S ribosomal RNA
Rfam family: Bacterial small subunit ribosomal RNA
Source: RNAcentral
AUACGAAGGGUGCAAACGUUGCUCGGAAUUAUUGGGCGUAAAGCGCACGUAGGCGGCUUUGCAAGUCGGAUGUGAAAUCCCUCGGCUUAACCAAGGAAGUGCAUCCGAAACUGCAGAGCUUGAGUACUUAAGAGGAUCGCGGAAUUCCCGGUGUAGAGGUGAAAUUCGUAGAUAUCGGGAGGAACACCAGUGGCGAAGGCGGCGAUCUGGGAAGAUACUGACGCUGAGGUGCGAAAGCGUGGGGAGCAAACA